AUUGGCUGGCGCGGCGCGAACCCCGUGAGGGGAAGCAGCGACGGGGGGAGGAAAUUGGGGGAAAAAAUGGCAAAAACGGGGCCGGGAAUGGCGGAAAGGAACCGAAAAACGGCCCCGAGGGCUCCUGGCGGCUUCCCCGCCACCCCUUGGAGGAUUUUUGUGGGGUUUAGGGAGCCCAGGUGCUUUUUGUGGUGGGGUCAUCACCCCUAAAUCCCUAAAAUCCCCAAAAUCCCCAAAAUGGAUUUGGGGGAGCUCCCAACCCCAGACCUGCUGCUGCUGCCAGGCGCUGUCUGUCCCUCCUGGCCCAGCUGUGCUCACCUGUGCUGGGGGCGGGAACUCAUUUGCAUCUCAUUUGCAUCUCAUUUGCAUCUCAUUUGCAUCUCAUUAGCGCAUGGGCAUUAACCAGGUGAGCACCCCAGUCCUUCCCAGUGCAUCCCAGUCCCUCCCAGUAACCCCAAAC
Molecule: long non-coding RNA, 460 nt
Organism: Catharus ustulatus (Swainson's thrush)
Lineage: Eukaryota; Metazoa; Chordata; Aves; Passeriformes; Turdidae
Exons: 3
Source: RefSeq, a predicted model, not a curated record